This 497-nucleotide ribosomal RNA is filed under the name uncultured bacterium. RNAcentral's name for it is "partial 16S ribosomal RNA". It matches the Rfam family "Bacterial small subunit ribosomal RNA", at positions 28 to 507 of the family's 1533-position model. The record is from RNAcentral.
GAUGAACGCUGGCGGCGUGCCUAAUACAUGCAAGUCGAGCGAACAGACGAGGAGCUUGCUCCUCUGACGUUAGCGGCGGACGGGUGAGUAACACGUGGAUAACCUACCUAUUAGACUGGGAUAACUUCGGGAAACCGGAGCUAAUACCGGAUAAUAUCUUGAACCGCAUGGUUCAAUAGUGAAAGUCGGUUUUGUUGUCCCUUAUAGAUGGAUCCGCGCCGCAUUAGCUAGUUGGUAAGGUAACGGCUUACCAAGGCGGCGAUGGGUAGCCGACCUGAGUGAGAGGGCGGCCACACUGGAAGUGAGACACGGACCACACUCCUACGGAAGGCAGCAGUAGGGAAUCUACCGCGAUGGGCGAGAGCCUGACGGAGCAACGCCGGGUGAGUGAUGAAGGUCUUCGGAUCGGUAGACUCUGUUUUUAGUGAGGAACGAAUGUGUAAGUAACUAGGCACGUCUUGACGUUACCUAGUCAGAAAGCCACGGCUAACUACGUG